CAGAACAUUUUCUCCCUCAUGGAGAGGGUCAGGUAGGCAAGUAUGGUUUACAAUGAUCAAGAUCAGAGGUUCUCAACUCCAGAGCCCAAGUACCACCAACAGGUCAUGCUUUGUGAGUUUCUUUAGCCAUGCACAGGUUCCACAAAUGGAUCCUGACCACUCUGAAGGACUGUCCAAGUGCCCUGAAUCUAAGCAUGUGUGACUAAAGCAAAAUGGAGUUACACUUCAUACAACAGACAACAGAGCUGCAGCACAGUCCAACAGAUCUGGAAAAGAUUUAUCAACCGGAUCCCCAUCUGCUCCAUUAUCCGGCAGAAUACACUCCAGCACCACAAAUCAAGCGGAUUUUCUUCAUUUAAAACAAGAUGCACAGACUCUGUUGUUAGCGGCACUUUCCAUCUAUCGCCCAAAAACUACUGUCAGACAUCCACAUUUACAACUUGGACAUAUGGUGUGUAUUAACACACUCUGAAUGUGAUUCCAUUGACGAAUGGGACUUAAAUCAAAUCCAUCAAUGAUUUUGUUACCAGUUUACUUCUUUGAUUCUAUGGAAACCUUAGUAUGUUCAAGCAAUUAAAUUCUGCUUGGUUGCCAAUAAGUUUUCAAAGUAUUUAUUAUGUGCAUCUAUUUUUAUACAUUUGGUUGAGUUUAUAGGGGGAAUUCAAUUUGGGGCGAACCGAUUUGCCAGACCGAAUUAGCGCGACUCCCACCACACUUUACGGCGGCAAGAUCUCGUUCAAAAGUGUUUGCUACCCCAUAGGGUAGUGAGCUCUCUUAAGUGAAGAGGGGUGCGAACGAGAGGUCGCCCACAAUGAAUUCCCCCCAUGUGUUUAUAUUACAUUCUGUAAAAUUCUCAUUGUAUUAAUAAACUGCAUCACUGAUU
Long non-coding RNA from Pseudophryne corroboree (corroboree frog), 883 nucleotides. RefSeq lists it as uncharacterized. Lineage: Eukaryota; Metazoa; Chordata; Amphibia; Anura; Myobatrachidae. The record is from RefSeq and is a predicted model, not a curated record. The transcript is spliced from 3 exons.